RNAcentral lists this long non-coding RNA (1123 nucleotides) under Panax ginseng (ginseng). Its description in RNAcentral is "long non-coding RNA (PGIN_LNC015294)". The record is from RNAcentral. Lineage: Eukaryota; Viridiplantae; Streptophyta; Magnoliopsida; Apiales; Araliaceae.
CACUUUGGGAGGAUUUUAAAAUGCUUACCCACAAGCUCUUGAUAUCACUAGCCCUAUCAUCCAGGAAAACUUUCUGCAUUAUCAAUAUCAUAAAGCAUAGGAAUUAAAUGAGUAUAUUAUUAUCACAAAAAACAACAAUGAUAUGGUCAAAGAAGGUAAAAAAAAUUGGCCCAGGAACAACAACAUAAAAGGAGAACAGUUAUAGGAGUUCAAAGUCUUUAAUCAAAAUCCGAUGUAGAAGGAACAGAUUGUGGAGAUGGAUUCUCUAACCACCAACAUAUAUUAACUCUCUAUUUAUUGCAGCUUUAGAACAAUUUAAGAUAUUGUGAACUGAACAUCAGUUAAUGAAGCAAGUAUCAAUAGAAACUAAAUGAAUGGGACCGUCAAUCGAAAAUGAAAUGUUACGUGAAUAAGAACCAACAAACCUGAAGCGUACCACGAGGAAUAGUAACCACCUCCCAUUUAUCUCUGAAAGUGUCUCUUCCCUUCUUCAAGAAUUUCAAUGCUCUAACAACCUGCAAAUCAUAUUACACCAAAAAUUAUAGUAUCGAAAUUCUUCCACAAGAAAGUGAUGGGAUAAAAAAGAUCAUUGAGCUAACCUUCAAGUACAAAUAAUAGGUACAUUAAGAAUUCACUCACGUAUACAUAAACUAGUUGGAAGUACAGGGUAAAUAAAAAAUAUAAACACCAAAACCAUUUUUAUACAAAUCUACAUGAAGUGUACAUUAAGAUAUCUAACUACAGACAAGGCAAUUUAACUACAUACAAGGUAGCCCACCAUUUUUUUGUAGUGUAAGAUUGGGUAUGCAAACAAUCAUUCAUAUAUGUAAAAAAGUGAAAACAUGCAAGGCCUAUCCUAGAUAUAGCUUAUAAACACAUAAAAAAUAUAGCCUACAAACAAUUUUAUAUGAUACAGACUUGACAUAGCACCACUAUGAACAACUAAAAAUGAUAGCAGAACAAAGGAAAAAAUUGUAAAUACAACAUAUUGUUAAUGCUUCUAACCUGUGCCACGCUUGCUCAUAGCAGAAGAUUGAACUUUUCAUGAGCUUCACAGUAGGAUAAUCACUUGUUCCAUCUGUAUCACCGACUCACUUCAAAUAUUGAACAGCAAACACUGUUN